Molecule: long non-coding RNA, 1739 nt
Organism: Callithrix jacchus (white-tufted-ear marmoset)
Lineage: Eukaryota; Metazoa; Chordata; Mammalia; Primates; Cebidae
Source: Ensembl
AUUUACAAUAGUCAAAUUCAUAGAGACAGAGAGUAGAAUGAAGGUUGACAGAAGCUAGGGGGAGUGGGGAAUGGGAAGUUACUUCUUAGUCGAUAUAGAAUUUCAGUUUUACAAAAUGAAGAGUUCAGAGUUCCAGAGCCUGGUUGCCCAACAAUGUGAAUGCAUUUAAUACCACCGAACUGCAGGCUUACAAAUGGCUAGGAUGGUGCAGUUUAUGUUAUGUGUAUUUCAAUGAAAAUUUGGAAGAAAAUACGAAAAAGGAGGAAUGAGUGAGAACCAGUAUGGUUUGUGGGAGGAAUGUUAAGCAGGUGCUGCUGCUGAGAGUAAAAUGGGAAGCAGAAAGAGAGAGAGUGAGGCUGAGGGGAGAACAGAGACCAGGUUUAUUCAGUCUGGAGAUGUUCUUUCAGGCCAUGUGUUCUUCUAGGAAAGGGAGAUACUGUGGAGCUUAGAGGCUUGACCCCGGCCCUUAGGUCUUUGGGUCUUCUCGUUGAGGCAAGAAGGAGCCAUUGAUGGUGUUAAGCAGGAAAAGCAGCAAGAUCCGAUUUGCAUUUUAGGAUUAUUCCUCUGGCUGAAUGCAAAUGAGUUGGAGGGGGCGACAUGGAGGAGGGAGGCAGAGUCACUGGUAAUCAAAAAGUAGAUGAUAAAGGCCUGAACAGGGAGGAAGAUCUCCACACAGCCCUGGUUUCCCAAGAGCCAGGGAGAGUCACAGGGCUUACUCAUGCCUGGAGUGGUGGACUCAUGCUCUAAACCAGUCUUCAUCAUGGACAUUUGGAGCCCUGUGCUGCUAUUGAUAAGGUGGUGUAGAAUCAUCCUACCUUCCCAUGAAGCCUCUGGAAAGGUGUCACACAGAGGAAAGAAGCUGCAUGCUGGAAACUGGAGUUUCAGCUCCCUGACUUGCUGUGUGAUUUUUGUACACUUUCUUUCUCUUCUCUGGAACUUUGUCUGUUUAUCUGUAAAAUUAGAGGAUUAAAAGAGAUGGCAAAAUCUUUUCACUUUUCUGUGGCAAUUCUGAAUGGUUGGAUGUGGAUCUCUGGAACUUUGUAUUGAAAAAGAUUUCAAUGGUGUGGGGAAGUCAGUUCACAGAGUCUCAAGAGAGCCAACUGAUCACGUCACUUACCAACUCUGCAUUUGGCGAUCCCACAUUGGUAGCUUGAUGCCAGCCAUGAUGGGAAAAUUUACAGCAUGCGUAUCUGCCAGCUAUGAACCAGAGCUCACCUCAGCCUCACCAAAAGUGGGCUGUUAAACAGUAUUCAUUGUACCACUCAUUUCGAAGCCCCAUGGGAAAAAGAACAAUUAUUUUCUGUAAUACUUGCCAGAGCCCCAGGAAGAGGAUAUAGAGCAAUGAGUGAUGAAUGUAUAUUUACCAUCUCUGGUUGGUUGAUUUCUGUCAUGUUCCCUUCACUGAUAACCUUUUCUGCAUUUUUUAGAAGAAAAAGUGCUUUGUCAGGGAAAGGGUUGCUAGCAUAGGCUCCCACUCUGAAUAAAAGACAUUCUGAAGUCCAGUUUAUCAACUGCUGACCGUAUUCUCUUGUCUCUGUUUAUUUUAUUUUAUUUUUUGAGUCAGAGUCUUGCUCUGUCACCAGGUGCCAGGCUGGAGUGUAGUGGAGCAAUCGUGGCUCACUGCAACCUCUGCCUCUCGGGUUCAAGCAAUUCUCCUGUCAUAGCCUCCCGAGUAGCUGGGACUACAGAUGCGUACCAUCAUGCCCAGCUAAUUUUGGUAUUUUUUUUAAGUAGAGAUG